AACGAACGCUGGCGGCAGGCCUAACACAUGCAAGUCGAGCGAGGACUUCGGUCCUAGCGGCGGACGGGUGAGUAACGCGUGGGAACGUGCCCUUUGCUUCGGAAUAGCCCUGGGAAACUGGGAGUAAUACCGGAUGAGCCCUUUGGGGGAAAGAUUUAUCGGCGAAGGAUCGGCCCGCGUUGGAUUAGGUAGUUGGUGGGGUAAUGGCCUACCAAGCCGACGAUCCAUAGCUGGUUUGAGAGGAUGAUCAGCCACACUGGGACUGAGACACGGCCCAGACUCCUGCGAGAGGCAGCAGUGGGGAAUCAUAGACAAUGGGGGAAACCCUGAUCCAGCCAUGCCGCGUGAACGAUGAAGGCCUUAUGGUUGUAAAGCUCUUUCAGCUGGGAAGAUAGUGACGGUACCAGCAGAAGAAGCCCCGGCUAACUCCGUG
This 433-nucleotide ribosomal RNA is filed under the name uncultured bacterium. RNAcentral describes it as "partial 16S ribosomal RNA". It matches the Rfam family "Bacterial small subunit ribosomal RNA", at positions 29 to 507 of the family's 1533-position model. The record is from RNAcentral.